Astatotilapia calliptera (eastern happy) is the source of this 855-nucleotide long non-coding RNA. NCBI's taxonomy places the organism in Eukaryota, Metazoa, Chordata, Actinopteri, Cichliformes, Cichlidae. The record is from Ensembl.
AUGGAUUGUUUCCUGCUCCAAUACAUGUUGGAAAGUACCUGAGACAGAAACGCAUUGACUUCCAGUUGCCUUACGACAUCCUAUGGUUGUGGAAACAUGAUCAGCUACACAAGAGGCCUGAUGUCCCCCUUUAUAAAAAAAUAAGAUCAAAUGUUUAUGUGGAUGUGAAGCCUCUAUCUGGUUAUGAAACAACUACAUGCAACUGUAGACUUCCCGAAGACUCAACUGAAAAAGGCUGCAUGGAUGAAUGCUUGAAUAGGUAAAGAUACACCAUCAUAAUUGGUUGUUUUCAACAAGUCUCAUGUUACUUUUCAGUAUUCAGAUGAAGCCAUGUGCUUGUUUAGAAAUGUUAUUUUACAUCGCUUUGUUUUAGGAAUUAAGUGAUUUUGAAUAGAGGGCAAAACAUGGUGUCAAGACAGGAAUGCCAGCCAUUGCACUCCAUCUCCAUCUUCAGGCUGUCUUUCUCUCCAGUCAAACCUAUCUCCAUAGGAAGGGGAUUUUUUUUUUUUUUUAUUGUUUGUAACCAGUAUAUCCUCUUCAAUCUGACAUCUUAAGUGUUGCAAACCUAUUGAGUUUUUAGCAUGCAGCAGAGCAAAGUAAAAACAGUAAUGUGCUUCAGAUGUUGUACAGAAACCAUGCCUCAGGGGUGCUGAAAACAAGCAAGCACUGGCUGUUGAAAAUAUCCCUGUGGCACUGCAGCAGUUGACAGCGUUUUGUAACAGCUUGGCAAAGGUGUUAGUUUCUUCCAUGGUUCUGAUUGGAUAGGGCAUUUUACAGUUGAGAAUGAGUGGACUGAUUCAGAGGUCUGGAGUUUUGGGGAUGGGGGGGUUGUCAUGGUAAUCAAGAAGCUUCUCG